GAGUAUCGGGUCAUAAAGUAGAUAUCGAGAAGAAGUCAGUGGAAUUACCGACAGAAGAAGCGACGGCUAAAUACGUGCCAGCAGCCGCGGUAAUACGUAUGUCGCAAGCGUUAUCCGGAUUUAUUGGGCAUAAAGCGCAUCUAGGCGGCAAGGAAAGUCUGAUGUGAAAAUGCGGAGCUCAACUCCGUAUGCGCGCUGGAAACUGCCUUGCUAGAGUGCUGGAGAGGUGGACGGAACUACACGAGUAGAGGUGAAAUUCGUAGAUAUGUGUAGGAAUGCCGAUGGGGAAGACAGCCUACUGGACAGAUACUGACGCUGAAGCGCGAAAGCCUGGGUAGCAAACAGGAUUAGAUACCCUGGUAGUCCAGGCCGUAAACGAUGAUUACUGGGUGUUGGGCAUGAAGAGUGUCCGUGCCGAAGCUAACGCGAUAAGUAAUCCGCCUGGGGAGUACGUCCGCAAGUAUGAAACUC
This 471-nucleotide ribosomal RNA is filed under the name uncultured bacterium. RNAcentral describes it as "bacterial SSU rRNA". It matches the Rfam family "Bacterial small subunit ribosomal RNA", at positions 434 to 902 of the family's 1533-position model. The record is from RNAcentral.